CUACACACGUGCUACAAUGGCGCAUACAAAGAGAAGCGACCUCGCGAGAGCAAGCGGACCUCAUAAAGUGCGUCGUAGUCCGGAUUGGAGUCUGCAACUCGACUCCAUGAAGUCGGAAUCGCUAGUAAUCGUGGAUCAGAAUGCCACGGUGAAUACGUUCCCGGGCCUUGUACACACCGCCCGUCACACCAUGGGAGUGGGUUGCAAAAGAAGUAGGUAGCUUAACCUUCGGGAGGGCGCUUACCACUUUGUGAUUCAUGACUGGGGUGAAGUCGUAACAAGGUAACCGUAGGGGAACCUGCGGUUGGAUCACCUCCUUA
Molecule: non-coding RNA, 320 nt
Filed under: Escherichia coli
Lineage: Bacteria; Pseudomonadati; Pseudomonadota; Gammaproteobacteria; Enterobacterales; Enterobacteriaceae
Description: bacterial SSU rRNA
Rfam family: Bacterial small subunit ribosomal RNA
Source: RNAcentral